This 395-nucleotide ribosomal RNA is filed under the name uncultured bacterium. RNAcentral describes it as "partial 16S ribosomal RNA". It matches the Rfam family "Bacterial small subunit ribosomal RNA", at positions 523 to 918 of the family's 1533-position model. The record is from RNAcentral.
AUACGUAGGGUGCAAGCGUUAAUCGGAAUUACUGGGCGUAAAGCGUGCGCAGGCGGUUUUGUAAGACAGUGGUGAAAUCCCCGGGCUCAACCUGGGAACUGCAAUUGUGACUGCAAGGCUGGAGUGCGGCAGAGGGGGAUGGAAUUCCGCGUGUAGCAGUGAAAUGCGUAGAUAUGCGGAGGAACACCGAUGGCGAAGGCAAUCCCCUGGGCCUGUACUGACGCUCAUGCACGAAAGCGUGGGGAGCAAACAGUAUGAGAGACCCUGGUAGUCCACGCCCUAAACGAUGUCAACUGGUUGUUGGGUCUUAACUGACUCAGUAACGAAGCUAACGCGUGAAGUUGACCGCCUGGGGAGUACGGCCGCAAGGUUGAAACUCAAAUGAAUUGACGGGG